ACUAAUAGUACAAUUGAAUUUUUUUGGUUAUGAUUAAAUGAGAAUACGAAAAAAAUUAAUAAUAUUUUUUAAGUGAAAUUUAAAAUAUUAAAAAAAAAUAAAAAAUUGAAGUCUAUAAAUUAAUUAAAAAACUAGGAUUAGAUACCCUAUUAUUAAAACUUAACUUUUUUCCUUAUGAUUAAUAGAUAUGUUCUUUAAAGUAAAAAAAUUUGGCGGUAUUUUAUUCUAAUUAGAGGAACCUGUUCUAUAAUUGAUAAUCCACGAUUAGAUAAACUUUUUCUUAUUUUGCAUAUCGUUGUUUAAAAUAUUUUUUUAGAUAUAUUUAAAAAUAAAAUUAUUAAUAAAUUCAGAUCAAGAUGUAGAGUAUGAAAAAGUAGCAAUGGGUUACAUUAAUAAAAAUUUUAGUUUGAUAUUUUUAAAAUUUUAAUAAAAUGGAUUUAAAAGUAAAUUUAAAUAUUUUUUUAAGUUGAUUUAAGCUCUAAAAU
This 485-nucleotide ribosomal RNA is filed under the name Stolas costaricensis. RNAcentral describes it as "partial 12S small subunit ribosomal RNA". Lineage: Eukaryota; Metazoa; Arthropoda; Insecta; Coleoptera; Chrysomelidae. The record is from RNAcentral.